GACAUAGUGAAGCCGUGUGGGGUCUUGUGCGAUUCACUAUUGUUUAUCUUUCUUUGAUUGUUCAUAUUGAAGUCUAGUGAAGCCAUGUGUGGCCUUGUGCGAUUCACUAGCAUUGUUCUUGACAUCUUGUUGGUUUUGUUGUUGCUUGAAAAUUGUAUUGUGAACUUGAUCUUGAAUGUUUAGGGACUUGGUAGGUUGAAAAUGAUUUGGUGACUUGGUAGGUUGAAAAUGAUUAAGUGUAGAGACUUUAAGGGUGACACAGUAGGUUGAAAGUGGUUAAGAGUAGGAAGUUUGAAGGGGAUUUUGUGUUUUGAAUGUGACUUGUUUGACGACUUAGUAACUUGAAAAUGGUUAAGUGUAGGGACUUUGAAGGGGAUUUUUUUUGUUUUGAAUGUGGUUUGUUAGGUCACUUACUUUCUCGAAAAUUGUUAAGUCUAG
This 438-nucleotide long non-coding RNA is filed under the name Capsicum annuum. RNAcentral's name for it is "long non-coding RNA (CANN_LNC002171)". Lineage: Eukaryota; Viridiplantae; Streptophyta; Magnoliopsida; Solanales; Solanaceae. The record is from RNAcentral.